CCUACGGGCGGCAGCAGUGGGGAAUUUUGGACAAUGGGCGCAAGCCUGAUCCAGCCAUGCCGCGUGCGGGAAGAAGGCCUUCGGGUUGUAAACCGCUUUUGUCAGGGAAGAAACGCCUUGGGCUAAUACCUCGAGGUAAUGACGGUACCUGAAGAAUAAGCACCGGCUAACUACGUGCCAGCAGCCGCGGUAAUACGUAGGGUGCAAGCGUUAAUCGGAAUUACUGGGCGUAAAGCGUGCGCAGGCGGUCUUGCAAGACAGAUGUGAAAUCCCCG
RNAcentral lists this ribosomal RNA (275 nucleotides) under uncultured bacterium. Its description in RNAcentral is "partial 16S ribosomal RNA". It matches the Rfam family "Bacterial small subunit ribosomal RNA", at positions 338 to 605 of the family's 1533-position model. The record is from RNAcentral.